AUUGUAUGUGGUGGCCUUUUGGGGUUCCUGUGGAGCAGGAAGCAAGUUCAGUGACAAUAUACAGAUAAAAUUCAGACUGUUGUUCUGCAAGUGCUUGUUACUACUUCACUCUGAAAAGGAAUCAAACCUAGAUUAGAAGUUUCAUUCUUCGGCCAGUGCAGACUGCAGUGCAGAAGCUCAAGAUGUCUUUCAAGCUACAAAUGAGAAUCAACAAUAAAAAUCCAAUGCUGGUUUCUGAACACUGGAGUGAACACAAACAAGGAGUAUUGUUUCAGGGGGUCUCUGUCACCUUUUAUUCUUCUGAAUAACUGAAUGUAUGUGAAAAUUUGAA
Molecule: long non-coding RNA, 331 nt
Filed under: Coturnix japonica (Japanese quail)
Lineage: Eukaryota; Metazoa; Chordata; Aves; Galliformes; Phasianidae
Description: lncRNA (ENSCJPG00005001746.1)
Source: RNAcentral